Syzygium oleosum is the source of this 1435-nucleotide RNA transcript. It is a transcript of the gene named alpha/beta hydrolase domain-containing protein WAV2, with no coding region annotated. The record is from RefSeq and is a predicted model, not a curated record. NCBI's taxonomy places the organism in Eukaryota, Viridiplantae, Streptophyta, Magnoliopsida, Myrtales, Myrtaceae. The transcript is spliced from 8 exons.
GCGAGAGAGAAGGGAAGGGGAGAGAGAGGGAGAGGGUGUCUCGGAAAUGGUGUCGUACGUGAACGCGCUGCUGUACGGGGUGGGGGGCAUCGUGGUGGCGGGCAUGGCGCUGCUGGUGGCCUUCCAGGAGCGCCUCGUGUACGUGCCGGUGGUGCCGGGCCUCACCAAGUCCUACCCCUUCACCCCCGCCCGCUUCCGCCUCCUCUACGAGGACGUCUGGCUCAGAUCCCCCGACGGCGUCAACCUCCACGCCUGGUUCAUCAAGCUCUUCCCCGACUCCCGCGGUCCGACUGUUCUGUUUUUCCAAGAGAAUGCUGGAAAUAUUGCUCAUCGUCUUGAAAUGGUUCGCAUAAUGUUGCAGAAGUUGCAGUGCAAUGUGUUUAUGCUUUCGUAUCGAGGAUAUGGGGCGAGUGAUGGCUAUCCUUCUCAGCAUGGCAUCACACUAGAUGCUCAGGCUGCAUUGGAUCAUCUUCGUGCAAGGACUGACAUUGAUACCUCCAGGAUAGUUGUAUUUGGAAGGUCACUUGGAGGAGCAGUUGGAGCAGUUCUUACAAAAAACAACCCCGAUAAGGUUGCUGCUAUAAUAUUGGAGAACACUUUCACAUCCAUUCUAGACAUGGCUGGAGUUCUACUGCCCUUUUUAAAGUGGUUCAUUGGAAAAAGUACUUCUAGAGGCCUUCAAAUUCUUAACAUUCUCGUGCGAUCUCCAUGGAAUACAAUUGACGUCGUUGGUCAGAUUAAACAGCCAAUCCUUUUCCUCUCUGGAUUGCAAGAUGAGAUGGUCCCCCCAUUACAUAUGCAAUUGCUGUAUGCCAAGGCAGCCGCUCAUAACAGGCAAUGCGUUUUCGUGGAAUUUCCAACUGGAAUGCAUAUGGAUACUUGGUUGUCAGGUGGAGAUCGCUACUGGAGAACUUUGCAACUGUUCCUUGAACAGCAUGUUCCAGAGAAGAAAGAAGAAAAACAGUCAUCUCAAAAUGAAAAUUUUUCAGGUAAGGGAAGCCUGAAGUCACUAAUGUGACACCUUGUUGCUUUUUGUUGAUGAACCGUGGAUGCAGAAUACCUUUCUUCUUUAUCAGAUUUUGAUGCUACUUAAGCUGCUGAGUACUUGACGUCCUAAAUCCCAACGUUUUUCAAUCUCCAAUGCUGCAGCAAUAGUGGUAUGCAUAGUCGGGGGGGCCCCAUUGCUGCUUGGACAGGACUGAUGUUAUUGAGGAGGAUGGGUUUUAGCUAAACCUUUCUAUUCCCCUUGUGGGUGGAGACCAAUAGGAAUUGCUAAGUGUUAUGAAGUACCUGAACUGAAAUCAUAGGAUUACUGAUGCAAAUAUUGAUCAUUCCUGCAGUAUGAAAGGCUUUUUCCCAACCGUGUAACUUAGCAGUGAUUUGUCUAACACAUUUGACUGUUUAACUAGAAGUGCUGCCAUUGAUUUUGCCAGAA